RNAcentral lists this long non-coding RNA (927 nucleotides) under Capra hircus (goat). RNAcentral describes it as "lncRNA (ENSCHIG00000007027.1)". Lineage: Eukaryota; Metazoa; Chordata; Mammalia; Artiodactyla; Bovidae. The record is from RNAcentral.
ACUCACUUUUAAUGGACUUGUUCAUUUACUCAUUAAUGUUGCAUUUGGGAAUACUUGCUAUUUAUAGGACACUGUGGUAGGUAUUAGAUUAGUAGCAGAGAACAACAUAAAUUCCAGCUUUUUGCUCAUGGAGCUUACAGUGUACUAGGAGAAACAGACAUUACAUAAUAAUUGGUUACUUUCAAAGAUUACUCUAGCCAUUCUGUGAAGAAUAAGUUGGAUAGGCCAAGACUAGAAUUAAGAAACCCAAUUUUCAUGAACAUUUAAAGGUCUAAGUUGUGGACCAGAUGAGGCAGCUAAAACACAGAGAAAUGGAUGGUUGUCAGCCAUCUCUGUGAUGUUUCCCUCUUCCUCCAUUUCCACUUGGUACAUAUCUUCUAUUGGUUACAGCCAAUCACUCACACAACAACCACCCACUGCCCAACCACCACCACCACCACUGACGAGAUGAUGCCCACAGCGGUGUUUCCAACAACAGCCAUGACUACACCUGACCUCUCAACCACAAGACCACUUCAGAUGAGAGCUGCGCUCUCAGGCAUGGCCUCCACAUGCUUUCUGACAAGCUCACUUCCUGAGGAAGACACGACACUGCUGACCCUUGAGCCUUCCACCGAAAAGCCCAUUCUCCCCGCAGAAUCAGAAAGUGUCCUCCCCAGGACCUCUCAGAGAAGCACAGAGGCGAUUUCAGGAGACACUGCCUUGCUCACAUCCAAGGGUAUGUGGAUGCGGUUCUCUUUCUUUCCUCUCCCCUUAGAUUGAGGGGGAAACACUGAACAGAGUGUCACCGAAUCAGAUGGCUAGAGAUGACUGUUGGGUCCUAUGUGGUGAAGCCCACCUGGGACACACUGGUGUCAAGACUGUUUGUGGCUUAUUCCUCCUAUGGAUUUUAGAGGGUAAGAGAGACCAUUGACCUUGAUUUGUUUC